Molecule: ribosomal RNA, 970 nt
Filed under: Campylobacter coli
Lineage: Bacteria; Pseudomonadati; Campylobacterota; Epsilonproteobacteria; Campylobacterales; Campylobacteraceae
Description: bacterial SSU rRNA
Rfam family: Bacterial small subunit ribosomal RNA
Source: RNAcentral
UGGUCUGAGAGGAUGAUCAGUCACACUGGAACUGAGACACGGUCCAGACUCCUACGGGAGGCAGCAGUAGGGAAUAUUGCGCAAUGGGGGAAACCCUGACGCAGCAACGCCGCGUGGAGGAUGACACUUUUCGGAGCGUAAACUCCUUUUCUUAGGGAAGAAUUCUGACGGUACCUAAGGAAUAAGCACCGGCUAACUCCGUGCCAGCAGCCGCGGUAAUACGGAGGGUGCAAGCGUUACUCGGAAUCACUGGGCGUAAAGGGCGCGUAGGCGGAUUAUCAAGUCUCUUGUGAAAUCUAAUGGCUUAACCAUUAAACUGCUUGGGAAACUGAUAGUCUAGAGUGAGGGAGAGGCAGAUGGAAUUGGUGGUGUAGGGGUAAAAUCCGUAGAUAUCACCAAGAAUACCCAUUGCGAAGGCGAUCUGCUGGAACUCAACUGACGCUAAGGCGCGAAAGCGUGGGGAGCAAACAGGAUUAGAUACCCUGGUAGUCCACGCCCUAAACGAUGUACACUAGUUGUUGGGGUGCUAGUCAUCUCAGUAAUGCAGCUAACGCAUUAAGUGUACCGCCUGGGGAGUACGGUCGCAAGAUUAAAACUCAAAGGAAUAGACGGGGACCCGCACAAGCGGUGGAGCAUGUGGUUUAAUUCGAAGAUACGCGAAGAACCUUACCUGGGCUUGAUAUCCUAAGAACCUUUUAGAGAUAAGAGGGUGCUAGCUUGCUAGAACUUAGAGACAGGUGCUGCACGGCUGUCGUCAGCUCGUGUCGUGAGAUGUUGGGUUAAGUCCCGCAACGAGCGCAACCCACGUAUUUAGUUGCUAACGGUUCGGCCGAGCACUCUAAAUAGACUGCCUUCGUAAGGAGGAGGAAGGUGUGGACGACGUCAAGUCAUCAUGGCCCUUAUGCCCAGGGCGACACACGUGCUACAAUGGCAUAUACAAUGAGACGCAAUACCGCGAGGUGGAGCAAAU